Molecule: ribosomal RNA, 427 nt
Filed under: uncultured bacterium
Lineage: Bacteria
Description: bacterial SSU rRNA
Rfam family: Bacterial small subunit ribosomal RNA
Source: RNAcentral
UGGGGAAUUUUGGACAAUGGGCGCAAGCCUGAUCCAGCCAUUCCGCGUGCAGGACGAAGGCCUUCGGGUUGUAAACUGCUUUUGUACGGAACGAAAAGGCUCUGGCUAAUACCUGGGGCUCAUGACGGUACCGUAAGAAUAAGCACCGGCUAACUACGUGCCAGCAGCCGCGGUAAUACGUAGGGUGCAAGCGUUAAUCGGAAUUACUGGGCGUAAAGCGUGCGCAGGCGGUUAUGUAAGACAGAGGUGAAAUCCCCGGGCUCAACCUGGGAACUGCCUUUGUGACUGCAAAGCUGGAGUGCGGCAGAGGGGGAUGGAAUUCCGCGUGUAGCAGUGAAAUGCGUAGAUAUGCGGAGGAACACCGAUGGCGAAGGCAAUCCCCUGGGCCUGCACUGACGCUCAUGCACGAAAGCGUGGGGAGCAAACA